RNAcentral lists this ribosomal RNA (249 nucleotides) under uncultured bacterium. RNAcentral's name for it is "partial small subunit ribosomal RNA". It matches the Rfam family "Bacterial small subunit ribosomal RNA", at positions 26 to 278 of the family's 1533-position model. The record is from RNAcentral.
AGGACGAACGCUGGCGGCGUGCUUAACACAUGCAAGUCGAACGGAAAGGCCCCUUCGGGGGUACUCGAGUGGCGAACGGGUGAGUAACACGUGGGCAACCUGCCCUCAGCUUCGGGAUAACACUUGGAAACAGGUGCUAAUACCGGAUGAUAACUGAUCAUCGCAUGGUGGUUGGUUCAAAGUUUUUCGGCUGAGGAUGGGCCCGCGGCCUAUCAGCUUGUUGGUGGGUGAUGGCCUACCAAGGCGACG